This 497-nucleotide ribosomal RNA is filed under the name uncultured bacterium. RNAcentral describes it as "partial 16S ribosomal RNA". It matches the Rfam family "Bacterial small subunit ribosomal RNA", at positions 28 to 507 of the family's 1533-position model. The record is from RNAcentral.
GAUGAACGCUGGCGGCGUGCCUAAUACAUGCAAGUCGAGCGAACGGACGAGAAGCUUGCUUCUCUGAUGUUAGCGGCGGACGGGUGAGUAACACGUGGAUAACCUACCUAUAAGACUGGGAUAACUUCGGGAAACCGGAGCUAAUACCGGAUAAUAUUUUGAACCGCAUGGUUCAAAAGUGAAAGACGGUCUUGCUGUCACUUAUAGAUGGAUCCGCGCUGCAUUAGCUAGUUGGUAAGGUAACGGCUUACCAAGGCAACGAUGCAUAGCCGACCUGAGAGGGGGAUCGUCGACACUGGAACUGAGACACGGGCCAGACUCCGACGGGAGGCAGCAGUAGGGAAUCUUCCGCAAUGGGCGAAAGCCUGACGGAGCAACGCCGCGUGGGUGAUGAAGGUCUUCGGAUCGGAAAACUCUGUUAUUAGGGAAGAACAUAUGUGUAAGUAACUGUGCACAUCUUGACGGUACCUAAUCAGAAAGCCACGGCUAACUACGUG